Raphanus sativus (radish) is the source of this 218-nucleotide long non-coding RNA. RefSeq lists it as uncharacterized. The record is from RefSeq and is a predicted model, not a curated record. Lineage: Eukaryota; Viridiplantae; Streptophyta; Magnoliopsida; Brassicales; Brassicaceae. The transcript has 2 exons.
CCAAAUAAUGAAAACUCCAUUAAAUAAAACCCACAAUCUCCUAUCCAUUUCUUUAUAAUAACUUUUUUUAUAUUUAUUUAAUAGAGAUCAAAAUCACAACUUUGCUAUCAGCAAUCUUGAAAAGUAAUAUCAAACAAGUCAAAGAAUUUUGAUUCUCUUUUAUUACAAGGAAAAAUGAUAAUUGUUUUGGUUAUUCAAUUACCUAACAACAGGAUAAA